Molecule: ribosomal RNA, 478 nt
Filed under: uncultured bacterium
Lineage: Bacteria
Description: partial 16S ribosomal RNA
Rfam family: Bacterial small subunit ribosomal RNA
Source: RNAcentral
AUGAACGCUAGCGGGAGGCCUAACACAUGCAAGCCGAGCGGUAUUUGUUCUUCGGAACAGAGAGAGCGGCGCACGGGUGCGGAACACGUGUGCAACCUGCCUUUAUCUGGGGGAUAGCCUUUCGAAAGGAAGAUUAAUACCCCAUAAUAUAUUGAGUGGCAUCAUUUGAUAUUGAAAACUCCGGUGGAUAGAGAUGGGCACGCGCAAGAUUAGAUAGUUGGUGAGGUAACGGCUCACCAAGUCAAUGAUCUUUAGGGGGCCUGAGAGGGUGAUCCCCCACACUGGUACUGAGACACGGACCAGACUCCUACGGGAGGCAGCAGUGAGGAAUAUUGAACAAUGGGUUAGCGCCUGAUCCAGCCAUCCCGCGUGAAGGACGACGGCCCUAUGGGUUGUAAACUUCUUUUGUAUAGGGAUAAACCUACUCUCGUGAGAGUAGCUGAAGGUACUAUACGAAUAAGCACCGGCUAACUCCGUG